GAUAACAGGCUGAUGAUGCCCAAGAGUCCAUAUCGACGGCAUCGUUUGGCACCUCGAUGUCGGCUCAUCUCAUCCUGGGGCUGGAGCAGGUCCCAAGGGUACGGCUGUUCGCCGUUUAAAGAGGUACGUGAGCUGGGUUUAGAACGUCGUGAGACAGUUCGGUCCCUAUCUGCCGUGGGUGUAGGAUACUUGAGAGGAGUUGCCCCUAGGACGAGAGGAC
RNAcentral lists this ribosomal RNA (220 nucleotides) under Halomonas marinisediminis. RNAcentral's name for it is "Halomonas sp. 204 partial 23S ribosomal RNA". It matches the Rfam family "Bacterial large subunit ribosomal RNA", at positions 2473 to 2692 of the family's 2925-position model. Lineage: Bacteria; Pseudomonadati; Pseudomonadota; Gammaproteobacteria; Oceanospirillales; Halomonadaceae. The record is from RNAcentral.